AUAUUGGACAAUGGGGGGAACCCUGAUCCAGCCAUGCCGCGUGUGUGAAGAAGGCCUUAUGGUUGUAAAGCACUAUAAGCGAGGAGGAGGCUCUGUGGGUUAAUACCCAAGAGGAGUGGACGGUACUCGCAGAAUAAGCACCGGCUAACUCUGUGCCAGCAGCCGCGGUAAUACAGAGGGUGCAAGCGUUAAUCGGAUUUACUGGGCGUAAAGCGUGCGUAGGCGGCUUUUUAAGUCGGAUGUGAAAUCCCUGAGCUUAACUUAGGAAUUGCAUUCGAUACUGGGAAGCUAGAGUAUGGGAGAGGAUGGUAGAAUUCCAGGUGUAGCGGUGAAAUGCGUAGAGAUCUGGAGGAAUACCGAUGGCGAAGGCAGCCAUCUGGCCUAAUACUGACGCUGAGGUACGAAAGCAUGGGGAGCAAAC
RNAcentral lists this ribosomal RNA (421 nucleotides) under uncultured bacterium. RNAcentral's name for it is "bacterial SSU rRNA". It matches the Rfam family "Bacterial small subunit ribosomal RNA", at positions 361 to 773 of the family's 1533-position model. The record is from RNAcentral.